GGCCCAGAUUCCUACGGGAGGCAGCAGUAGGAAUUCUCCACAAUGGACGAAAGUUUGAUGGAGCAACGCCGGCGUGAAUGAAGAAGGUUUUCGGAUCGUAAAACUCUGUUUUUGGAGAAGAAUGUAUCUGAUAGUAACUGAUCAGGUAGUGACGGUAUCCAACCAGAAAGCCACGGCUAACUACGUGCCAGCAGCCGCGGUAAUACGUAGGUGGCAAGCGUUGUCCGGAUUUAUUGGGCGUAAAGCGAGCGCAGGCGGUUUCUUAAGUCUGAUGUGAAAGCCUUCGGCUCAACCGAAGAAGUGCAUCGGAAACUGGGAAACUUGAGUGCAGAAGAGGACAGUGGAACUCCAUGUGUAGCGGUGAAAUGCGUAGAUAUAUGGAAGAACACCAGUGGCGAAGGCGGCUGUCUGGUCUGUAACUGACGCUGAGGCUCGAAAGCAUGGGUAGCAAACAGGAUUAGAUACCCUGGUAGUCCAUGCCGUAAACGAUGAGUGCUAGGUGUUGGAGGGUUUCCGCCCUUCAGUGCCGCAGCUAACGCAUUAAGCACUCCGCCUGGGGAGUACGACCGCAAGGUUGAAACUCAAAGGAAUUGACGGGGGCCCGCACAAGCGGUGGAGCAUGUGGUUUAAUUCGAAGCAACGCGAAGAACCUUACCAGGUCUUGACAUCCUUUGACCACUCUAGAGAUAGAGCUUUCCCUUCGGGGACAAAGUGACAGGUGGUGCAUGGUUGUCGUCAGCUCGUGUCGUGAGAUGUUGGGUUAAGUCCCGCAACGAGCGCAACCCUUAUUACUAGUUGCCAGCAUUUAGUUGGGCACUCUAGUGAGACUGCCGGUGACAAACCGGAGGAAGGUGGGGACGACGUCAAAUCAUCAUGCCCCUUAUGACCUGGGCUACACACGUGCUACAAUGGAUGGUACAACGAGUUGCGAGACCGCGAGGUUUAGCUAAUCUCUUAAAACCAUUCUCAGUUCGGAUUGUAGGCUGCAACUCGCCUACAUGAAGCCGGAAUCGCUAGUAAUCGCGGAUCAGCAUGCCGCGGUGAAUACGUUCCCGGGCCUUGUACACACCGCCCGUCACACCAUGAGAGUUUGUAACACCCAAAGCCGGUGAGGUAACCCUUCGGGGAGCCAGCCGUCUAAG
Molecule: ribosomal RNA, 1142 nt
Filed under: Latilactobacillus sakei
Lineage: Bacteria; Bacillati; Bacillota; Bacilli; Lactobacillales; Lactobacillaceae
Description: bacterial SSU rRNA
Rfam family: Bacterial small subunit ribosomal RNA
Source: RNAcentral